UGUUUCGCCCCACCAAUGGAUGUAAGUCGCCAUUUAGUAUUUUUCCAGAAUGGAAAGUGGUUAUCUAUUGUCAAAAAAAGACCCCAUUGCAGAUGUCAGCCGGAUGGCCGCUGUGGAAACAUGCUGCGCUUCCAAUAUAAAGAAUCCGGAUUCAAUUCCCGGUCCCAUACCUCAGUUUUUCAGGAAGAAUCCAUUCCCAAUUGAAAGAGACGUAAAACUACAUAGAAAACCUCUCUGUAGAGACGAUAGCUUGUUUUUCUAAACCAUUUAAUAUAGUCGGCCGGAUUGGCAGCGUGGAAACUUUGAAGGCCGGGUUCGAACCUAGAGUCCCAUGAAAAUAUCAUGAGGUUUGGGCCCGGUCCGUCGAUCCCCCGUCCUCCACAGUCCGGCUGGCCCCUCCGCAGGCGUGGGCGGCCUGUGGAGGGACUUGUUUCGCCCCGCUACUUGG
Molecule: long non-coding RNA, 448 nt
Filed under: Androctonus crassicauda
Lineage: Eukaryota; Metazoa; Arthropoda; Arachnida; Scorpiones; Buthidae
Source: RNAcentral